GAUGAAGAACGCAGCGAAAUGCGAUACGUAAUGUGAAUUGCAGAAUUCUGUGAAUCAUCGAAUCUUUGAACGCAUAUUGCGCUCUUUGGUAUUCCGAAGAGCAUGCUUGUUUGAGUAUCAGUAAACACCUCAAAGCUUUUGGAUUUUUUAAUCGAAAAGCUUUGGACUUGAGCAAUCCCAACACCAAUCUUUUUGAGAUCGGUGGCGGGUUGCUUGAAAUGCAGGUGCAGCUGGACAUUCUCCUGAGCUAAAAGCAUAUUCAUUUAGUCCCGUCAAACGGAUUAUUACUUUUGCUGCAGCUAACAUAAAGGGAGUUUGACCGUAUUGGCUGACUGAUGCAGGAUUUCACAAGGGUCGGCAACGAUUCUUGUUAAACUCGAUCUCAAAUCAAGUAAGACUACCCGCUGAACUUAAGCAUAUCAAUAAGCGGAGGA
RNAcentral lists this unclassified non-coding RNA (434 nucleotides) under soil metagenome. Its description in RNAcentral is "partial contains 5.8S ribosomal RNA, internal transcribed spacer 2, and large subunit ribosomal RNA". The stretch from base 1 to 120 matches the Rfam family "5.8S ribosomal RNA", at positions 35 to 154 of the family's 154-position model. The record is from RNAcentral.